RNAcentral lists this ribosomal RNA (253 nucleotides) under uncultured bacterium. Its description in RNAcentral is "partial 16S ribosomal RNA". It matches the Rfam family "Bacterial small subunit ribosomal RNA", at positions 524 to 776 of the family's 1533-position model. The record is from RNAcentral.
UACGGAGGGAGCUAGCGUUGUUCGGAAUUACUGGGCGUAAAGCGUACGUAGGCGGCUUUGUAAGUAAGAGGUGAAAGCCUGGAGCUCAACUCCAGAACUGCCUUUUAGACUGCAUCGCUUGAAUCCAGGAGAGGUGAGUGGAAUUCCGAGUGUAGAGGUGAAAUUCGUAGAUAUUCGGAAGAACACCAGUGGCGAAGGCGGCUGACUGGACAUGUAUUGACGCUGAGGUGCGAAAGCGUGGGGAGCAAACAGG